AGCUUUGCGCAGUGGCAGUAUCGUAGCCAAUGAGGUUUAUCCAAGGCGCAAUUAUUGCUAAUUGAAAGAGAAAGAACAUCAAAAUUUCCUAUUGAACAACAGUUCAUUUAUAUUUUAAAAUUCAAACAGUAA
Molecule: small nuclear RNA, 132 nt
Organism: Vulpes vulpes (red fox)
Lineage: Eukaryota; Metazoa; Chordata; Mammalia; Carnivora; Canidae
Gene: U4
Rfam family: U4 spliceosomal RNA
About the family: U4 small nuclear RNA (U4 snRNA) is a component of the major U2-dependent spliceosome.
Source: Ensembl